UACGUAGGUGGCAAGCGUUGUCCGGAUUUAUUGGGUUUAAAGGGUGCGUAGGCGGCCUAUUAAGUCAGUGCUGAAAUAUCCCGGCUUAACCGGGAGGGUGGUAUUGAUACUGAUGGGCUUGAGUAGAGUUGAGGUUGGCGGAAUUGACGGUGUAGCGGUGAAAUGCUUAGAUAUCGUCAAGAACACCUAUUGCGAAGGCAGCUAACUAAGCUCAAACUGACGCUGAGGCACGAAAGUGUGGGGAUCAAACAGG
Molecule: ribosomal RNA, 253 nt
Filed under: uncultured bacterium
Lineage: Bacteria
Description: partial 16S ribosomal RNA
Rfam family: Bacterial small subunit ribosomal RNA
Source: RNAcentral